GCCAGCAGCUCGCUCUCUUCAACUCUCACAUGGUCGCCCACUGAUGCUAAGCAGGGCUGCGCCCGGUCUGUACCUGGAUGGGAGACCACAUGUGAACACUAGGUUGCUGUUGGAA
Danio rerio (zebrafish) is the source of this 115-nucleotide ribosomal RNA. Lineage: Eukaryota; Metazoa; Chordata; Actinopteri; Cypriniformes; Danionidae. The record is from Ensembl.